Long non-coding RNA from Corythoichthys intestinalis (scribbled pipefish), 803 nucleotides. RefSeq lists it as uncharacterized. NCBI's taxonomy places the organism in Eukaryota, Metazoa, Chordata, Actinopteri, Syngnathiformes, Syngnathidae. The transcript is spliced from 3 exons. The record is from RefSeq and is a predicted model, not a curated record.
UUGGAAGACAACACUUCGAGAAAAAAAAAUAAAUAAAUAAAAGAUUGCGAGCAAUAGCGCAAGAUUUCAUCAGAAAAGAUGCUAAUACUUGUCGACACGGUGAUGAAAGAAGGAAGCGUUGCGGCCGUCAGCCCCCAUUAUGACAAAAAUGAAUCACUAGUCCAGUACAAAAAGAACGAUAAAAAAAACCACACACAGGAGUGUUUUGUAUUGAACACGGGGCCGUGUUGGUUAUUAUUAUAGCAGAGAAGACAGCAGUAAAUCAACAAAGACAAGUCAACUGUGCCCCGAUCUACCACUCAAGAGAUCUGAUGGACUCAAAAAGCCAGAAGGCCAGCAAGUUGACACGGCCACCUCUCCCGGUGAGCAAUGCACUGAUGAGAAGACUACAAAAGGACGAAGAGAAAAAGGGAGGGGGCGGGCCCACAACCUUGGCCCCCAGCCCUCCCUUUUCACCACCCCGAAGCCCGCCACACUGACACAGUGGCGCUUUUCAUCUCCGUGCAUUUUCAUCUCUUUUCUCCCCCUCCGCCAUCUCGGGAAAAAAGUGUCCUUGGUGGGAAUUUUUGUCUUCAAAGAAAUCAAUUCUCCUUUGUACACAUGCGAGUUGACCCUGUGGCAGGCAUUAAGUGCGUGCUGAUGGACACGCGCCAUUGUCACACAUAUUUGCCUCAGCGUACCAACGAGGAGCCCGUGCAGCGUCUCAGCGGAAAACGCCGCUGCUCAUCAAGGCUUCAAAACCUUCAGAUGCAAAAGAAAUAAGUGAAGAAUAUGUAAAGAGUGGAAUAUUACGUCCUGUCAAA